AGCGAACGCUGGCGGCAGGCCUAAUACAUGCAAGUCGAACGGUUCCUUCGGGAACAGUGGCGGACGGGUGAGUAACACGUGGGAACGUGCCCUUUGGUACGGAACAACUGAGGGAAACUUCAGCUAAUACCGUAUGUGCCCUUCGGGGAAAGAUUUAUCGCCAUUGGAGCGGCCCGCGUUGGAUUAGGUAGUUGGUGAGGUAAAGGCUCACCAAGCCUACGAUCCAUAGCUGGUCUGAGAGGAUGAUCAGCCACACUGGGACUGAGACACGGCCCAGACUCCUACGGGAGGCAGCAGUAGGGAAUCUUGCGCAAUGGGCGAAAGCCUGACGCAGCCAUGCCGCGUGAAUGAUGAAGGUCUUAGGAUUGUAAAGCCCUGUCGGGAGGGACGAAUCAAUGACGGUACCUCCCAAGAAAGCACCGGCUAACUCCGUGCCAGCAGCCGCGGUAAUGUAGUCGUG
Molecule: ribosomal RNA, 460 nt
Filed under: uncultured bacterium
Lineage: Bacteria
Description: bacterial SSU rRNA
Rfam family: Bacterial small subunit ribosomal RNA
Source: RNAcentral